GAUGAACGCUGGCGGCGUGCCUAAUACAUGCAAGUCGAGCGAACAGACGAGGAGCUUGCUCCUCUGACGUUAGCGGCGGACGGGUGAGUAACACGUGGAUAACCUACCUAUAAGACUGGGAUAACUUCGGGAAACCGGAGCUAAUACCGGAUAAUAUAUUGAACCGCAUGGUUCAAUAGUGAAAGACGGUUUUGCUGUCACUUAUAGAUGGAUCCGCGCCGCAUUAGCUAGUUGGUAAGGUAACGGCUUACCAAGGCAACGAUGCGUAGCCGACCUGAGAGGGUGAUCGGCCACACUGGAACUGAGAGACGGUCCAGACUCCUACGGGAGGCAGCAGUAGGGAAUCUUCCGCAAUGGGCGAAAGCCUGACGGAGCAACGCCGCGUGAGUGAUGAAGGUCUUCGGAUCGUAAAACUCUGUUAUUAGGGAAGAACAAAUGUGUAAGUAACUAUGCACGUCUUGACGGUACCUAAUCAGAAAGCCACGGCUAACUACGUG
This 497-nucleotide ribosomal RNA is filed under the name uncultured bacterium. RNAcentral's name for it is "partial 16S ribosomal RNA". It matches the Rfam family "Bacterial small subunit ribosomal RNA", at positions 28 to 507 of the family's 1533-position model. The record is from RNAcentral.